UUGAACGCUGGCGGCAUGCCUUACACAUGCAAGUCGAACGGUAACAGGUCUUCGGAUGCUGACGAGUGGCGAACGGGUGAGUAAUACAUCGGAACGUGCCCGAUCGUGGGGGAUAACGGAGCGAAAGCUUUGCUAAUACCGCAUACGAUCUACGGAUGAAAGCAGGGGACCGCAAGGCCUUGCGCGGACGGAGCGGCCGAUGGCAGAUUAGGUAGUUGGUGGGAUAAAAGCUUACCAAGCCGACGAUCUGUAGCUGGUCUGAGAGGACGACCAGCCACACUGGGACUGAGACACGGCCCAGACUCCUACGGGAGGCAGCAGUGGGGAAUUUUGGACAAUGGGCGCAAGCCUGAUCCAGCCAUGCCGCGUGCAGGAUGAAGGCCUUCGGGUUGUAAACUGCUUUUAUGUGAGGAUAAACCUAGAUUUGCGAAUCUAGCUGAAGGUAUCACAUGAAUAAGGAUCGGCUAACUCCGU
Molecule: ribosomal RNA, 474 nt
Filed under: uncultured bacterium
Lineage: Bacteria
Description: partial 16S ribosomal RNA
Rfam family: Bacterial small subunit ribosomal RNA
Source: RNAcentral